CCCUGAUCCAGCCAUCCCGCGUGUGCGAUGAAGGCCUUCGGGUUGUAAAGCACUUUUGGCAGGAAAGAAACGUCGCGGGCUAAUACCCCGCGGAACUGACGGUACCUGCAGAAUAAGCCCCGGCUAACUUCGUGCCAGCAGCCGCGGUAAUACGAAGGGGGCUAGCGUUGCUCGGAAUCACUGGGCGUAAAGGGUGCGUAGGCGGGUUUCUAAGUCAGAGGUGAAAGCCUGGAGCUCAACUCCAGAACUGCCUUUGAUACUGGAAGUCUUGAGUAUGGCAGAGGUGAGUGGAACUGCGAGUGUAGAGGUGAAAUUCGUAGAUAUUCGCAAGAACACCAGUGGCGAAGGCGGCUCACUGGGCCAUUACUGACGCUGAGGCACGAAAGCGUGGGGAGCAAACA
This 401-nucleotide ribosomal RNA is filed under the name uncultured Rhodopseudomonas sp. RNAcentral describes it as "bacterial SSU rRNA". It matches the Rfam family "Bacterial small subunit ribosomal RNA", at positions 381 to 774 of the family's 1533-position model. The record is from RNAcentral. Lineage: Bacteria; Pseudomonadati; Pseudomonadota; Alphaproteobacteria; Hyphomicrobiales; Nitrobacteraceae.